GCGGGAAUAGCCAAGUGGUCAACGGCGACAGACUCAAGAUCUGUUCGUGAAGACGUUCAGGGGUUCGACUCCCCUUUCCCGCA
RNAcentral lists this transfer RNA (83 nucleotides) under Methanosarcinaceae archaeon. RNAcentral's name for it is "tRNA-Leu". It matches the Rfam family "tRNA". From Rfam's summary of the family: Transfer RNA (tRNA) molecules are approximately 80 nucleotides in length. Their secondary structure includes four short double-helical elements and three loops (D, anti-codon, and T loops). The record is from RNAcentral. Lineage: Archaea; Methanobacteriati; Methanobacteriota; Methanomicrobia; Methanosarcinales; Methanosarcinaceae.